CUCUCUUAUCAGUCCGACCCCCCUACGCUAACACAUAAGCAGCAUUUUUUAAAGUCAAACAAUUAGCUUGGACAUAAAGUAUAAGGAGACUAAAUAUAUGGACAGGCAACCAAAUGAAACUCAAUUGAAGUAUUCACGAAUAGUUGUAGCAAGAUUAACGAAUGUGCUUUUAAGAUUCAUCAAUGAAACAUAAAGGUAACAACAGGAACAAACUACAAAUGCAACAUAAAGACAACUAAUUGGCCAUGCAUGAUCGAGAAAGAGACAGACAGAGACAGGUAAGGACCCAGAAAUGGAACACAGGAUCAUAAAACUACCGAAAGAACUAUAAACAAUAGGAUGUUACACAUGAUUUUACCAUUUGAAAGUAAACUAAGUACCACGCGAGAAAAGUUUGAAAAAUUAAUAACCGAGCCAAUUGUGUGAAAAGACUAUAGAGUAUCAUUUUCUGAUUUAAUCCAAAAACAAAUAUAAUGUGUAUUUCAUCUAACUAAGAGAAUUAAAUUCUUUGACACUAGCUCUAAAAGUUAAUCCAAGGCCUCAAAUUGAAUCCACGAUAAGAUUUCUGACAUUAGAGGCUUAUUUUGUUCCUAAUAACAAUAACAUAUGUGAAUUUCUAAACCUCCUCUUUACUUCCCCCCCAAAGCCUCUUCUCAAUCCCAACCCAAAAAACAUGGAAAAGGAAAUGAUUUCACUUAAUUAAGCAUCUUCAGACGUAUGACUGAUACCUCAGGA
Molecule: unclassified non-coding RNA, 735 nt
Filed under: Hevea brasiliensis (rubber tree)
Lineage: Eukaryota; Viridiplantae; Streptophyta; Magnoliopsida; Malpighiales; Euphorbiaceae
Source: RNAcentral